Molecule: ribosomal RNA, 458 nt
Filed under: uncultured bacterium
Lineage: Bacteria
Description: partial 16S ribosomal RNA
Rfam family: Bacterial small subunit ribosomal RNA
Source: RNAcentral
CUACGGGAGGCUCCAGUAAGGAAUAUUGCGCAAUGGAGGCAACUCUGACGCAGCCAUGCCGCGUGCAGGAAGAAGGCCUUAUGGUCGUAAACUGCUUUUAUUUAGGAAUAAACCCCCGAACGUGUUCGGGGCUGAAGGUACUAAACGAAUAAGCACCGGCUAACUCCGUGCCAGCAGCCGCGGUAAUACGGAGGGUGCAAGCGUUAUCCGGAUUUAUUGGGUUUAAAGGGUGCGCAGGCGGGCUAUUAAGUCAGUGGUGAAAUCCCGGGGCUCAACUCCGGAACUGCCAUUGAUACUGAUAGUCUUGAGUUUGGUUGAAGUGGGCGGAAUGUAGCAUGUAGCGGUGAAAUGCAUAGAUAUGCUACAGAACACCAAUCGCGAAGGCAGCUCACUAAGCCAAAACUGACGCUCAUGCACGAAAGCGUGGGGAUCAAACAGGAUUAGAUACCCGAGUAGUC